AACAUCGUUGCGGUACGUUGUGCGGCGCUGCAUCAUCAUCGCUUAGGAAUGGUAUCGCCGUCCAAGCACCAAUACCAGCAGCAGCAACAGCAGCAGGAGCAACAACAGCAACUCAGACGACCGUCGAGAGAGAACAAUAAGUUUGAUCCGCGACGAACGUCAGAUAUUCGUAUACGAAAGGGCCCGCAGCCGCUGGAAGAGAAGUCGUUCUAUUUGGACAUAAAGAACCAUGCCGUCGCGGCCAAGCUAGAGGCACAGAUCAGGGAGUUGGGUGGUGUGGUCGAAUUGUUUCUUGUGCGCAGUGUGAACCUCGUAGCCAGCGAUAGAGUAGAUAAGGCAGGUAACACGAACUUGGAAAGGCAUAGAUGGGCCUACGCCAGUGGCGGCAGCGGAGGACCCCGCUCGCUGAAAAGCAUCGAAGUACCAACUCCUACACCCCCGACGCCGUUGCUGAGCUCUGAAUGCCCCUCGUCCAAUUCUACUCUGCGGGGUCAAACUACCCAAAGAUCUAAAUCGCGAGUGGAUGCAAUGUUGGAACGUGCUCUGACGCAGCCACAACAGUGUUCCGUGGAUCCACUAAACAACGCCCACACUUGGAGAAUUCCUAUUUGGACGACGGAUAAGUUUCAGAUUUGGCUUGACAAGGUCUAUGAAUCUGUCAAGAAUAAUUCUAAUUUGAAGCAAAUUAAUCAGCACAGCUCGACGAGAGUCAAGCAUUUGAAGAGACCAUACGUUAAAUUCGACUCUAUUUACAGAACUACCAGGCCUGUAUUCCUGGAAUUAUCGUCGUGGCCCACGUUAAAUUUCGACGGUGAUCCUGGUUCGUGUCCUUUUGACGUAAAGAAGCAGGAGAAACGAGAGAGCAAAUUAAUAAACAAAGAGGUCAAGGAGAAUAAAAGGGAUAUUGAAUCUAUAAAUAAGGCGGAGGGUAGAGAAAUGACUCGGAGACCUCGUGCCACCACUGCACGUGCUCGCAGAACGGAACAGCUGGUCGCUGGCUAUUGCGAACUCUGUCACAUUCAUUAUAACGAUUUAUCGAAGCAUGUGCAAAGUGAGCAGCAUCUGAACUUUGUGGGGAACGAUGACAAUUUCUUGUCAUUGGACACGCUAAUUAACGCAGGUGCCAAUGUGGAGGCGUUUUUAAAAUUAAACAGAACAAAGGAUAUUGAGAAAGACUGCGACUUAUUCCCCAAUGGAAAUGACAAUCUUCAUAAUGUAGUGCUGCCCGAGGAGAAGGUUAAUAAGAACACCAAAAGUUUAAGUAACUUUACCGUUGACGAAAUAAAAAUGGUGAAUGGUGCGCGCAGAAACCUUAAUCUAAAGUUAAGUUCGCCGCAUAAUCUGCGCACUCGCACAAAACACGAGAGCGGACAUCUCCUCAGGUCUAAAGGUAGUCCAUGGCACGAGGUUGACAAGAGUGAAAAAUUUUAUGAUAAAUUGGAGGGUUUUACCAUCAAAAAGCGCUCGAAAGGUACUAUUUGGAUUGAGGAGGACGACCCGGACGAGAAGUACACGGAGGAUAUUCUGAAGGAGCCCAAGCAGGAAGACUACAAAAUCAAACCGUUCUCAAACAAUAUCGAAUUUUAUAACAGUAAGGACGACAAUAUUAAUAAAGAGGAUAAUGUCAAUAAUAAACACAGUAAUCUGGAUCCACCAAAGUUGCAGUCGAUAAUCGUGCAUAGAAAUGCGCAAAACGGUAUCAUAAAUUCGCGUCAUAUAUCGGAGGAUCCAGAUUAUCUGAAUGGCAAGAACGAAUGUAACGGUGAUGAGAACGCGGGUGUUUUAGAGUGUACGAUAAAGCAAAUCGAUGUAGUAAAUAACGGUUAUGUUAUUGGAGGUUGCAAAGACGAUUCGUUUCAGAGAGACAGUUGUGCGUUGCAAGGUGCGGAGAAGGUGGCGAUAGAAAACGCGAGAAAACUCUCAUCGAAUAACGCGAAUAAUGAAAUCAUUUGUAACGGGCAUAACAAGACCGAGCAGCAGAAAGACUUGAAGGCGUCGUCGCAGAGUGUCGAGAAUACUCGGCACAUGAAGCUUCUUAAGCAUCCGCGCUUGAAUCGGAGAGGCAGAAAUAUCCGGGGUCGAUAUCGGCAUCGAUUGUCGGUGGAGGAGCGUUUGAUAGAAGACAAUCGCGCUUAUUAUAAGGUGGAAGUAUUGGGUAACAAGUUGCGAUCGAGCGCAGUGCCGAGUGGCGGCAAUCCACAGCAUGUAUCGGCGAAGGAUGGUGAGGAAGACGAGGAGAAGAAGGAAAUGCCGUCCAGCCAAGAGAAGCCGGUGGUGGUGCGGUUUAAACGCGUGAGGAAGUCCGAAUUGUCUUUGCUAAGUGACGAGGCGGAGUCUUUCAUGUUCGGCGAGCCGAAACGGGACGACUCGAGCGAGCGAACUACCAGCGACGGCGAGCAGAGCAGCAUACUGCCAAGGGACACGGACAGCGAGGUCAACGAGACUGUUAAUUUAUCGGUGUCGCUGAACUCGUUAAAUUCCAGUCCCAUUAAACAGGAGGUUGUCGAGGAGGACUCGCAGGAUUCGGUGCACCUGGGCAGAGCGAGGAAGAGAAGGCGUACGCAGGCUGAAGCGUUCAUCAAGGACAAUACCGACUACUACAAGUUUGAAACGCCUGGUAGCAGGUUAAGGUAUCAGGCUCCGUUGACUGGUAUCAAGGACACUACCGCCGUAGAUGGCAGCAGGGAACACGGAACGGCGAAGAAAUCGAGUUCGCAUGAACCGGAAAAUUGCAAGUUGCAGACCGACGGUGUCGUCAAGAAAGUUUAUCCGUCCAAGCCGUCACCGGAGAUUGAGAAGAUGCAGUUCUCCUUUGAGUCGGUGCCUAUGUCCGAGCCGUGGUAUCAAACGUAUCAGCGUCAGGAUACGGGCGCCGAGUUCUGGCAUUGCUUUAGCGAGUGCGACACGAUGAAGCCGUUUCUCCUGCCGUACGAGAUCGAGAACUUUCACGAGACACUGCUGAAGGCGCAGAGUAGAAUUGACAGCGGCAGAAGACGGGGCCGUGGUCGUGGUGUAGGAUGCAUGGGACGCUCGCCGAGAAAGAGUCCACGUUGCCACGCGUCUACGUUGGCUAUUAUGUCCACCAUAAUCCGCAAAAGGGAGCAACAAUCGACUCUGUCCACGAUAGAGGAGUCACCGGCUGCCAGAUCACGCAUGAACACGCCCAAGCUCGAGCAAAAAUUGGAUCCCAAAUUGGACGUGGACGAGGAAGUUAAAGAGAUAGCGAAAACGAUCGACGAGUUGCUGAGCGCGAAAGGAAUGAGCGAAUUGGACGACUCGUUCGAGCCCGACUUCGAUUUGACACAGACCGAGAGUUUCUGUGAGACAAACCUGCCAAAAGGCGCGCCGCCAAAUCUGCUGGAACUGCUCGACAACUGUCAAGACAUGACCAACUGUCUGGAGAACAACUCGUCGUGCGCCAGUUCGGAAUGCGGUGAAGCAAACGCGGAUAUUCCGUUGAGACGACGGAAACGUAGAAAAAAUCGGACUGGUUGGCCGGUUGGCAACAAGAUGAAAAAGAAAAUACAGGCGAACAGUAAGGUCUUGACGGAUUGUGACAGGGAAUCGUUGGUAGAGAAGAGGCUCUAUCCGGAUGGCGAUUUUGCCGAACGUCACGUGCUGAACGCGUCCAACAGAUUGUUAGAAGGGAUUGAUUCUCACGCGGUCACACCAACGUCGAUGAACGUCGCGUUGCCAACGGCUGCGGAGCGUUUGGCUGUCAAUCAGAGUAACGCUUCAUUGGAAACCGCGUCUCAUAAAUCGUAUCAUGAGGUGCUCGCGAAAAAGGACAGAAGCGUAGCAGAAGCUAUCGGCAGUGACAAUACGAGCCUAUCGGCGAACAAUACGGACAGCUGUGUGAAAUCCAUCUUGGAGAACGCAUGCGACGAUGGGACGAACAAGACUCACUUGUCGAGCAAAGAUUAUCCGUGUAGAAAGGAUCUUUCGGGGAUGUCGGAGAAAAUCUCGGAUUCGGGUAACGAUGAGAAUCACGACAACCACCAGAAGAGUCUGUUCGGCAGAAAGGACGUCAACACGAUCGGUGAGAAUCUGGUCGCAAAUCUGAUCACGAAGUCGUCGUCCGGAAUCGGCAGGAAGCAACGGCAGCGCGAGCAUACCGUUGUUACCAGUGCCGACAGCUGCGAAUCGGCGGAGAUCGAGAAUCAGAACAAUCUGCAGUUGCAGUGUAGAAAGGAGGAGACCGGUAUAGUUCCUAAGAAACACCACAAUUCCAGUUCCGAGCUGUCAGGACCGAAGCGGCAGCUGCGUGGUGGCGGUAACUGCGAGGAGAACUCGCAGUCAGACUCGACGGGAUCUGAAUUACUGAAGCGUCGUCGCGGCAUCGUGUUUGCCGCGACGAGGCGCGGUCGAAUGGGCUCGCGAAAGCGGAUCUACUCGAGGAAACGUCAGUCAAGGACGGCCGUCGCUCGCAACAACAACGCCAGCCUAUCGUCGCCCGAUCGCGUCGGGAUGAUAUACGAGGACGAGAAUUGUAAAAAGGACGCCUACUUGAGUAUUACGUCGUGUAACAAGAAGCAGUCGCCAGGCUCCGCGAUCCGCGGCGGCGUGAAGCGCAAGAGUGAGGCGAUUUCGUCGUCGGACAAUGUCCAGGAGCCAUCGUCUGAUCCAACGGUGGAUCAGUGCGCGUUGUCGGAGCGCGUUAGUCCGUCGAUAUUGUCGUCUACCGAGCUCGAGCAACGUCGCUCAAGCAUCGAGUUCCAACCGGUUGUACGAAUGAUGAAACUCGACGACCAGGUGGAUAUGGAUCACGGUAUACUGUCGACAGUGACGGUGGCAAGCAAUCGGCGACUGAGAAGCUCUGGCAGUUCGCCACGUUCGAACCCCAAGCCACCGAGGAAGCGCGUUAAGUCCGCCCGCGGGCACUUCGGGCGAUGGUUGAAGAACAGCUGAAGACCUGGGGAACGCAGACGCAAAAGAAAGAGGCUGUACCUCGGUUUAGAUUUCAAUGAUGGCGGUUAUCAGGUGUCGAUCUCACGAUCCGAUAUUUCGUUCCACCGCAGUGUACAUUGUGUAUAAAAAUAUUAUUUGUGUGGUUAGUUUUAACACUCCCCACCCGGUAUGUCCUACUGUGUACAUUCUUUAGAUGCGGUCGUUGUGUUCUCAGAGGCAGAAUAGUUACAAUCUUUUUUACUAGUACCAAGUCGUUCCUUAUUUUCUAUUUUUUUCUUCCAUCGUUUUAUGUAAACGAAAAUUGUGUACCACUUUAAUGACACUCAUUUUCAUGCAGAUCAUGAUUAAAGAUUAUUUAGAAUACAUUAUUAUAUAUUUUAGAGUACGCAAGACUGCAUACAGCUUUAUAACAUUGUAACCACACAUACACAUAACAUACACAUACACACACCACACAUACUCACAUAUAUUUCCGUUAUAUUGUGUAUAUUAUUGAAAGGUAAUAUUCUAUAUUUUCGAUUCCCCAAUAUAUCCAAAUACAUUAUUUCAAGCAAAAUUGCUGUAAGUCGCUCAUGAGUUCAGAAAGAGAAAUUAUUAUUAAAGAUAUGCAAAUUUUUCAUUAAAA
Molecule: unclassified non-coding RNA, 5533 nt
Filed under: Monomorium pharaonis (pharaoh ant)
Lineage: Eukaryota; Metazoa; Arthropoda; Insecta; Hymenoptera; Formicidae
Description: uncharacterized LOC105831656, transcript variant X1
Source: RNAcentral